Molecule: ribosomal RNA, 635 nt
Filed under: Microbacteriaceae bacterium Ri2Ps_5115
Lineage: Bacteria; Bacillati; Actinomycetota; Actinomycetes; Micrococcales; Microbacteriaceae
Description: bacterial SSU rRNA
Rfam family: Bacterial small subunit ribosomal RNA
Source: RNAcentral
AGCCUGAUGCAGCAACGCCGCGUGAGGGAUGACGGCCUUCGGGUUGUAAACCUCUUUUAGUAGGGAAGAAGCGAAAGUGACGGUACCUGCAGAAAAAGCACCGGCUAACUACGUGCCAGCAGCCGCGGUAAUACGUAGGGUGCAAGCGUUGUCCGGAAUUAUUGGGCGUAAAGAGCUCGUAGGCGGUUUGUCGCGUCUGCUGUGAAAUCUGGGGGCUCAACCCCCAGCCUGCAGUGGGUACGGGCAGACUAGAGUGCGGUAGGGGAGAUUGGAAUUCCUGGUGUAGCGGUGGAAUGCGCAGAUAUCAGGAGGAACACCGAUGGCGAAGGCAGAUCUCUGGGCCGUAACUGACGCUGAGGAGCGAAAGCAUGGGGAGCGAACAGGAUUAGAUACCCUGGUAGUCCAUGCCGUAAACGUUGGGAACUAGAUGUGGGGGCCAUUCCACGGUCUCCGUGUCGCAGCUAACGCAUUAAGUUCCCCGCCUGGGGAGUACGGCCGCAAGGCUAAAACUCAAAGGAAUUGACGGGGGCCCGCACAAGCGGCGGAGCAUGCGGAUUAAUUCGAUGCAACGCGAAGAACCUUACCAAGGCUUGACAUAUACCGGAAACGUCCAGAGAUGGUCGCCCCGCAAGGUC